This 291-nucleotide ribosomal RNA is filed under the name uncultured bacterium. Its description in RNAcentral is "partial 16S ribosomal RNA". It matches the Rfam family "Archaeal small subunit ribosomal RNA", at positions 455 to 746 of the family's 1478-position model. The record is from RNAcentral.
GUGCCAGCCGCCGCGGUAAUACCGGCAGCCCAAGUGAUGGCCGCUGUUAUUGGGCCUAAAGCGUUCGUAGCUGGCCGCACAAGUCCGUCGGGAAAUCCGCCCGCUCAACGGGCGGCCGUCCGGCGGAACCUGUGUGGCUGGGACCGGGAGGCCUGAGGGAUACGAUCGGGGGAGGAGUGAAAUCCUGUAAUCCCGCUCGGACCGCCGAUGGGGAAACCACCUCAGGAGGACGGAUCCGACAGUGAGGGACGAAAGCCAGGGUCUCGAACCGGAUUAGAUACCCCAGUAUCC